Molecule: transfer RNA, 73 nt
Filed under: Caldifarciminota bacterium
Lineage: Bacteria; Pseudomonadati; Caldifarciminota
Description: tRNA-Asn
Rfam family: tRNA
About the family: Transfer RNA (tRNA) molecules are approximately 80 nucleotides in length. Their secondary structure includes four short double-helical elements and three loops (D, anti-codon, and T loops). Further hydrogen bonds mediate the characteristic L-shaped molecular structure. tRNAs have two regions of fundamental functional importance: the anti-codon, which is responsible for specific mRNA codon recognition, and the 3' end, to which the tRNAs corresponding amino acid is attached (by aminoacyl-tRNA synthetases). tRNAs cope with the degeneracy of the genetic code in two manners: having more than one tRNA (with a specific anti-codon) for a particular amino acid; and 'wobble' base-pairing, i.e. permitting non-standard base-pairing at the 3rd anti-codon position.
Source: RNAcentral
UCCAGCGUAGCUCAGCUGGUAGAGCGCCUGACUGUUAAUCAGGUGGUCGCAGGUUCGAGUCCUGCCCGGGGAG